Molecule: ribosomal RNA, 205 nt
Filed under: uncultured bacterium
Lineage: Bacteria
Description: partial 16S ribosomal RNA
Rfam family: Bacterial small subunit ribosomal RNA
Source: RNAcentral
CGAGUAGGCGGUUUUACAAGUCAGAUGUGAAAUGCAUGGGCUCAACCCAUGAACUGCAUUUGAAACUGUAAGACUUGAGUGCGGUAAAGGAAAGUGGAAUUCCCAGUGUAGCGGUGAAAUGCGUAGAUAUUGGGAGGAACACCAGUGGCGAAGGCGACUUCUGGGCCGUAACUGACGCUGAGGCGCGAAAGCGUGGGAGCAAACA